RNAcentral lists this ribosomal RNA (606 nucleotides) under Triticum aestivum (bread wheat). RNAcentral describes it as "partial small subunit ribosomal RNA". The record is from RNAcentral. Lineage: Eukaryota; Viridiplantae; Streptophyta; Magnoliopsida; Poales; Poaceae.
AUGGAAGGCCUGCCGUUCAUGAAGCAUGGUUAUGUCUUCAUUGCGCACCGCCAGAUGAACGACAUGCUAGGACACGCUAUCCCUGAUUUAUGCCGCUUCAGCUUGGAUGAGUCUCCAUCAUGUGGAACCGGAUUAGAAAGCUGCGACAAUGAUUGCCGUUGCCCACCACUAUGGAUCGUGCCAUCCAUGAAGAACACCUGGGACUGGAACCUGGAGGAGGACAUGCAUAAUUACUUAUGCAAGUCAAAGAAGGAUUGGCCGGUUCUGCCGGCUGGCGUCAAGUUCGAUCCCAUGGAUCAGGAGCUGAUCGAGCACCUUGAGGCCAAACGCAAUUCCAGGGCGUUCAAAAGGGGCACGUGGACGCAUCGCAAGAUACAGUCGGACUGCGGCAUGCACGCGAUGUGGCACAAGACCGGCAAUACCUUGCCGGUGAUGGUCAACGGCAAGAAGACGGGCAGCAAAAAAGGUUCUGGUGCUGCACACCAACAAGAACAUCGACCAGCAGAGGACCAACUGGGUGAUGCACCAGUACCACCUCGGGGACCUGGAGCAAGAGAAGGAGUGGGAACUGGUUCUCUGCAAGAUUUUCUACCAGACGAACACUAG